GAUUGAAACUGAAUUAGAAGAGUCAACACAGCUCAGAGAUUGACAGUGACUGGUGAGCUUUACAUGUCCUCAUUUUUGAGAGAGGGUAACAGCUUCCAAUUAAUUACAUCUCCUUGGGCACAAAGAAUUGCUUUUGUGGUGGGACAGAAGUUCAAAGGUGUAGAAGGCUGUGUGCAGAUGCUGAGUGGCUAACAGGGGCUGUGCCAGUUAGGAAGCUCGUCUCUCAGUUCCACACCCGCUCUUUUUAGCUCUGCUUUUGUGAUACCAGCGACAGAACUCUGCAAACAUCUCUGCUUCGCAGCUGGCAUCCUGUUGGAUUUUUCCAGUAGAGGGAAGCUUCCAUGCUGCAGGAAGAAGGGGCGUGCUCCUUCCCGUUCCUGUCAGCACUGCUGCAGCAGUUUGCUCUCACAGCUGCAUGUGAUCCCAGCUGCCAUUUCUGACCUGCUCAGAACCAGCUUCAUGAUGGGCUCAAAGACCCAGGACCAGCUCUGGCAUGUACACGUGGCCACGGUACCCUUCGUACAACACGGGAAGAGAACAACAGGACGCCCAAGAGGCAUCUGGACAGCACACAGCAAACAGAAAGGCUGAACGCCCCCCCAUGGAACCCCAUUAAAAAACAAUGUUUGUCUAUUACAAA
Molecule: long non-coding RNA, 640 nt
Filed under: Homo sapiens (human)
Lineage: Eukaryota; Metazoa; Chordata; Mammalia; Primates; Hominidae
Description: novel transcript
Source: RNAcentral